RNAcentral lists this ribosomal RNA (253 nucleotides) under uncultured bacterium. Its description in RNAcentral is "partial 16S ribosomal RNA". It matches the Rfam family "Bacterial small subunit ribosomal RNA", at positions 524 to 776 of the family's 1533-position model. The record is from RNAcentral.
UACGAAGGAUGCAAGCGUUAUCCGGAUUCAUUGGGCUUAAAGGGUGCGUAGGCGGCCUGCUAAGUCAGUGGUGAAAUCUUCUCGCUUAACGAGAAAACUGCCAUUGAUACUGGUGGGCUUGAGUACAGAUGCUGUGGGCGGAAUAUGACAUGUAGUGGUGAAAUACAUAGAGAUGUCAUAGAACACCGAUUGCGAAGGCAGCUCACAAAACUGUAACUGACGCUGAGGCACGAAAGUGCGGGGAUCAAACAGG